RNAcentral lists this ribosomal RNA (465 nucleotides) under Vreelandella stevensii. RNAcentral's name for it is "partial 16S ribosomal RNA". It matches the Rfam family "Bacterial small subunit ribosomal RNA", at positions 338 to 795 of the family's 1533-position model. The record is from RNAcentral. Lineage: Bacteria; Pseudomonadati; Pseudomonadota; Gammaproteobacteria; Oceanospirillales; Halomonadaceae.
CCUACGGGCGGCAGCAGUGGGGAAUAUUGGACAAUGGGCGAAAGCCUGAUCCAGCCAUGCCGCGUGUGUGAAGAAGGCCUUCGGGUUGUAAAGCACUUUCAGUGGGGAAGAAAGCCUUGGGGCUAAUACCCUCGAGGAAGGACAUCACCCACAGAAGAAGCACCGGCUAACUCCGUGCCAGCAGCCGCGGUAAUACGGAGGGUGCGAGCGUUAAUCGGAAUUACUGGGCGUAAAGCGCGCGUAGGCGGUCUGAUAAGCCGGUUGCGAAAGCCCCGGGCUCAACCUGGGAACGGCAUCCGGAACUGUCAGGCUAGAGUGCAGGAGAGGAAGGUAGAAUUCCCGGUGUAGCGGUGAAAUGCGUAGAGAUCGGGAGGAAUACCAGUGGCGAAGGCGGCCUUCUGGACUGACACUGACGCUGAGGUGCGAAAGCGUGGGUAGCAAACAGGAUUAGAUACCCUGGUAGUC